AUGAACGCUGACAGAAUGCUUAACCCAUGCAAGUCAACUUGAAUUUGGGUUUUUAACUUAGGUUUGGGUGGCGGACGGGUGAGUAACGCGUAAAGAACUUGCCUCACAGCUAGGGACAACAUUUGGAAACGAAUGCUAAUACCUAAUAUUAUGAUAAUAGGGCAUCCUAUAAUUAUGAAAGCUAUAAGCGCUGUGAGAGAGCUUUGCGUCCCAUUAGCUAGUUGGAGAGGUAACGGCUCGCCAAGGCGAUGAUGGGUAGCCGGCCUGAGAGGGUGAUCGGCCACAAGGGGACUGAGACACGGCCCUUACUCCUACGGGAGGCAGCAGUGGGGAAUAUUGGACAAUGGACCAAGAGUCUGAUCCAGCAAUUCUGUGUGCACGAUGAAGUUUUUCGGAAUGUAAAGUGCUUUCAGUUGGGAAGAAAGAAAUGACGGUACCAACAGAAGAAGUGACGGCUAAAUACGUG
Molecule: ribosomal RNA, 466 nt
Filed under: uncultured bacterium
Lineage: Bacteria
Description: partial 16S ribosomal RNA
Rfam family: Bacterial small subunit ribosomal RNA
Source: RNAcentral